AUUGAACGCUGGCGGCAUGCUUUACACAUGCAAGUCGAACGGCAGCGCGGGCUUCGGCCUGGCGGCGAGUGGCGAACGGGUGAGUAAUACAUCGGAACGUGCCCAGUAGUGGGGGAUAGCUCGGCGAAAGCCGGAUUAAUACCGCAUACGACCUGAGGGUGAAAGCGGGGGAUCUUCGGACCUCGCGCUAUUGGAGCGGCCGAUGGCAGAUUAGCUAGUUGGUGGGGUAAAGGCCUACCAAGGCGACGAUCUGUAGCUGGUCUGAGAGGACGAACAGCCACACUGGAACUGAGACACGGCCCAGACUCCUACGGGAGGCAGCAGUGGGGAAUUUUGGACAAUGGGCGAAAGCCUGAUCCAGCAAUGCCGCGUGUGUGAUGAAGGCCUUCGGGUUGUAAAGCACUUUUGGCGGGAACGAAAAGGACUGUGCCAAUACCACGGUUCGAUGACGGUACCCGAAGAAUAAGCACCGGCUAACUACGUG
RNAcentral lists this ribosomal RNA (484 nucleotides) under uncultured bacterium. RNAcentral describes it as "partial 16S ribosomal RNA". It matches the Rfam family "Bacterial small subunit ribosomal RNA", at positions 29 to 507 of the family's 1533-position model. The record is from RNAcentral.